RNAcentral lists this ribosomal RNA (301 nucleotides) under uncultured bacterium. RNAcentral's name for it is "partial 16S ribosomal RNA". It matches the Rfam family "Bacterial small subunit ribosomal RNA", at positions 509 to 809 of the family's 1533-position model. The record is from RNAcentral.
CAGCAGCCACGGUAAUACGAAGGGUGCAAGCGUUAAUCGGAAUUACUGGGCGUAAAGCGUGCGUAGGCGGUUUGUUAAGUCUGCUGUGAAAUCCCCGGGCUCAACCUGGGAAUGGCAGUGGAUACUGGCAAGCUAGAGUGUGUCAGAGGAUGGUGGAAUUCCCGGUGUAGCGGUGAAAUGCGUAGAGAUCGGGAGGAACAUCAGUGGCGAAGGCGGCCAUCUGGGACAACACUGACGCUGAGGCACGAAAGCGUGGGGAGCAAACAGGAUUAGAUACCCCCGUAGUCCCUGUCUCUUAUAA